UCUCAAUCUCCUUACUCACUUUGUUCCUACUGAUCUUAAUAGUGUGUUUGUGUUCACUUUUUUUAUUUUUAGGACAAAACUACCUGAUUUGUAUUCCUCUUUUGAAAACCCAAGCCAAUGUUGAGAAUGGAUCUAUGUGAUAUUUACAAAUGUUGUUAUGGAAGUGAUGAAGAACAAACAAGAACAGCAGCAAUAGAUGCAGCAGAACAGAAAUGUCAUACACCGAUGUUGCAACAAAAAUGAAAGAGGGAGAGAGAUGAGAAAGAACACACAGAUUUACGUGGUUCACUACAUCCACGGGAGGGAAAAAUAGAGAGCUUUUAUUAUCGAUGCAAUAUACAAGUGGAAGCUUAUCUUUGAAAAUACAGGGCAUGAUUGCCUUAUAUAAGUAGAGGACAAAACAGAAAAAAAAAAUAACAGAAUAAACUUCCAUAUGGAUUUUGGUCAUAGCCCAACAAUUCACCAUCUUGAACCAACAUCCAUAUAAAACACAAACUGCACCAUCCAACCACACAUGAUUUUAACCCCAACAAUCAACAUUGAGCAAGCUUAAGCAGUGAUCAAACUUGCUCUUUGGAACUGACUUUGUGAACAUAUCAAGAGGAUUGUGCAGAGUGCUGAUCUUAUGAACUUUGAUUCUUCUUUCUGACCGAAUGAAGUGAUAUCUAACAUCUAUAUGCUUGGUUCUAUCAUGAUGAACCUGAUCCUUGGCCAAGCAUAUAGCACUAAGGCUAUCACAGUAGAUGUUAGCAUAUUCUUGAGAUUAAUUCCGAGAUCAUUUAUCAGACCUCUUAGCCAAAUUCCUUCCUUUGCAGCUUCAGUAAGAGCCAUAUAUUCAGCCUCAGUAAUUGAAAGGGCAAUAGAAGGUUGAAGUGUUGCCUUCCAACUCACCAAGCAACCACCAAGGGUGUAAGCAUACCUUGUUAGGGACCUUCUCUUGACAAGAUCAGCAGCAAAAUCUGCAUCAGAAUAGCCAGUGAGACAACAAUCUGAGUUAGAUCCAUAGAUCAACCCUACAUCUGCAGUCCCUUUAAGAUAUCUAAAAAUUCUAUUCACAACCUUCCAAUGUUCCUUUUGAGGUUGGUUUAAGAACCUACUAACCAUGCUAACAACAUAAGCAAGGUCAGGUCUGGUGCAGACCAUGGCAUACAUGAGACUGCCAACAACACUUGAGUAUGGAACUUUUGACAUAUAGUCCUAAUAAGCCUGAGCUUGAACCUUUAUCACAACAGACAACUUCUCUUUUUUUGAAAGGGGAGUACUAAUAGGUUUAGAAUCAGCCAUUCCAAACCUCACAAGUAUCUUCUGAAUGUAAUCCUUUUGAGACACAAAUAGCCUUUUCUGAGUUCUGUCCCUAUAGAUUUCCAUUCCUAAGAUUUUCUUUGCAGCCCCUAGAUCUUUCAUAUCAAAUUCACCACUUAGGAGGAUCUUCAGAUUUUGUAUAUCACACAUGCUUUUUGCUGCAAUAAGCAUGUCAUCUACAUAGAGUAGAAGAUAGAUCAUUAAUCCAUCCUCCACCUUGUUGUGAUAAACAUAGCAGUUAUAGAGACUUCUCUUGAAUCCUUGGCUGGUGAUAAAGCUGUCAAACCUCAUGUACCAUUUCCUUGGAGAUUGUUUCAAACCAUACAAGGACCUCUGCAGUUGACAAACAUACCUUUCUUUUCCUAUAACUUCAAACCCUUCAAGCUAUUUCAUUAAAAUAUUUUCUUCCAAUCUUCCAUGGAGAAAGGCAGUCUAGACAUCAAGUUGUUCAAGUUCCAAAUCUUGGUUUGCCACAAUAGCAAGCAAAACCCUGAUAGAUGUAUGUCUGACCACAGGUGAAAAGAUUUCGUUGAAAUCUACUCCUUCUUUCUGGCCGAAUCCCUUGGCAACUAACCUAGCCUUGUAUCUUAUCCCUUCCUUUUCUGAAAGACCAGGUUUCCUCUUGAAUAUCCACUUGCAGCCUACCACAUGUCUUCCUUUAGGUAGUUCAACAAGUUUCCAGGUUUGAUUCUUAUGUAAAGAUUCCAUUUCCUCUUUCAUAGCUAACAACCAAUUUCAGCUUCAGGAUGAUUGAUAGCUUCUUGGUAGGUGGCUGGUUCAUUUGAAUCUGUUUCUUCAGCUGCAUGUAAUGCAUAGGCAUCCAUGUCUUUAAAUCCGUAUCUUUCGGGAGGUUCAGUGACCUUUUUUAGUCUCUGAUUGAUUCCAGAAUUGAGCUGUGGAGGAUCAGGUUCAACAGCCAAAUGAGACUCAUUUGCACUGGAAUCUUCUAAUUUUUCACCUUCUUGAAGAACCACAGGAGAUGUUUCGGAAUGACCCCCUUUUUUUGAGUCUUUGGUUAUAAAUUCUACAUCCUUUUUCUUGAGGAGAGUGGUAGCUCUGUGUUCCAGCAAUUGGAACCUCAAGCUUGGGAUGAAACAAAUGUGAUUCAUAAAAAAUUACAUCUCUGCUGAGAAGAACUUUCUUUUCCAAGGGUGACCAGAUCCUAUAGCAUUUCACCCCAUCACCAUAACCCAUGAACAGACCCUUUCUUGAUCUAGGUACCAGGUUUCCUUCAUUGACAUGAUAAUAAGCAUUGCAGCCAAAUACUCUUAGGUUUGAGUAGUUUGUUGUUUUGCCAUUCCAGAUUUCAAUAGGAGUUUUAAGUCCUAUAGCAGUAGAGGGUGUUCUAUUGAUCAGAAAACAAGUUGUAUUGAUAGCUUUUCCCCAAAAACUUUUGUUGAGACCAGCAUUAGACAAUAGACAUCUUGUUCUUUCCAAGAGUGUUCUGUUCAUUCGUUCAGCAACUCCAUUUUGCUGAGGAGUGUUCCUAACAGUAAGCUGUCUAGCAAUUCCUUCAUCUCUACAGAAUUUGUUAAAUUCUGUUGAGCAAAACUCCAAGCCAUUAUCAGUUCUGAGUCUUUUAACUUUCCUUUCAGUUUGUUUUUCAAUCACUUCUUUCCAUUCUUUGAAGCAUUUGAAAGCUUGACUCUUCUAACUCAUGAUGUAGAUCCAUGUCAUUCUUGAGUAGUCGUCAAUUAUGGACAGAAAAUACCUUCCACCACCUAGUGAAGGUACUCUUGCAAGCCCCCAACAGUCAGCAUGAAUGUAAUCAAGAGUUUCUUUGGUGGUGUGAACUGCUUUAGGAAAUUUAAUCCUAUGUUGCUUGCCGAAAACACAGUGCUCAUAGAAUUUAAGUUCAUCCAGUUUUUUAUUUCCCAACAGUUGUUGUUUUUCAAAGUAUCAUCAUACCUUUUUUACUUAUAUGACCUAGCCUCAUGUACCACAAUUGAGUUAAGUCAGGUAUGCUCUUAUUGGAUCUUAAUGCAACAGCUACUAGACCAUCAUCAAUACAUGUUGUACCUUGAAGUAUAUAGAGAUUACCCCUCUUUAUAACCUUCAUCACCAUUGUAGAGCCUUUCUGAAUUUUUAUGACCCCAUUUUCAGUGCUGCAUUUAAACCCCUUUCCAUCCAUAAUACCUAUGGAGAUUAGAUUCUUCUUCAGCUCUGGAACAUGCCUAACUUCAGUAAGUGUUCGAAUAAUUCCAUUAUGCAUCUUGAUUUUUACUGUGCCAAUUCCAAUUGUCUUGCAUGAGACAUCAUUUCCCAUGAAGACAUUUCCACCCAAUUUCUCUUCAUAGGUGUCAAACCAGGUUUUGUUAGGACACAUAUGAAAGGAACAGCCAGAGUCUAAUAUCCACUGAUUUUCAGAAUGUUGGUGAUGAUCAGCAACUGAGAGAACAAGCUCAUUUUCAGAUGUGGAACCUUCCUUGGCAACAACAGCAAAUGGUUUGCCCUUUUUCUUAGGACAAUCUUUCUUCCAAUGACUUGGCUCCUUGCAGUAGUUACAGAUAUCCUUUGGAUUGACAUGAGUCUUCUUCUUUCCUUUAAACACCUUUUUCUUGAUGUUCUUGAUGGAGUUAGAGACCACCAGACCAGAUCCAUUUGAUUCUUCAGAAUUUCCAGAUGCUUUAGAUCGAAGUUCCCUUGAGUAUAAGCUGGAUUUCACCUCCUCCAUGGUGACACAUUCCUUACCAACACUAAGAGAAUUGACAAAGCUCUCAUAUGAUGGUGGUAGAGAGGCUAACAAAAUCAUGGCAGCAUCGUCAUCCUCUAUCUUAACAUCUAUAUCUCUUAAUUCCAUCAAAAUAGAAUUUAAUUCAUCAAGAUGAUCCUUAAGAGAUGUACCUUCUUUCAUGUGUAAACCAAACAGACGCCUCUUCAAGAAGAGCUUGUUGCAGAUUGACUUAGUCAUAUACAACUUUUCCAACUUGAGCCAUAAACCACUUGCAGUUUCUUCACAGAUGCAGAAGCAACAGGAGCCCAGACACGUGGUUACUUUAACAAAGCACACAUCUUGAUGCGCCACAGAUUGAAGCUGUUCUUUCCAUUGAAUUUCUCAAUCCUGAUUGUGUUUGACAUGAUUUCUUGAAUGUUCUUGAUCAUAAAGAAGCAGCAAAAGAACCAUAAACAAGACUCCCAUAGCUUGAUCUUUGUAUUAAGACGAGAAUCUUGAAUUCCCUUGAUUGCAACUUGAGCUUUUGAUACCAGUUUGUUAUGGAAGUGAUGAAGAACAAACAAGAACAACAACAGUAGAUGCAGCAGAACAAAAAUGUCAUACAUCGAUGUUGCAGCAAAAAUGAAAGAGGGAGAGAGAUGAGAAAGAACACACAGAUUUACGUGGUUCACCUUUGAUUAAGGUUACAUCCACGAGAGGGAAAAACAGAGAGCUUUUAUUAUCGAUGUAGUAUACAAGUGGAAGCUUAUCUUUGAAAAUACAGGGCAUCAUUGCCUUAUAUAAGUAGAGGACAAAACAGAAAAAAAUAACAGAAUAAACUUCCAUAUGAAUUUUGGUCACAACCCAACAAAUGUUAUAAGAAUUUUGUCAAAUCCAACAUAUGUUGGAUACUACUCUUUACCUUAAAUUGCUCCUUACUAAUUGUGUAUUGAAUACUGAACUAUUAUUUCAUUCUUUAUGCAUUAUUUGUUGUCAUAUGUAUGUAUGUAUGUGUGUAUUCAUGUAUUCUUUUUUGUGUUUUGAGCUUUGGUUUUUGUUGAUUGAAAAAGAUAACUGUCACCUACUGUAGAGCAAUGACUUCUGAAGAAGAUUUCAAGAAAUUAAGCCAUCUGACCUGGUGUUUAUAGCCCUCACUCUGUAGGCCACUUCCUUAACCUUGAUAAGAUAGAGAGAUAAAAUGAGCUUUGAAAUAAUUAUUAUACUUCCAUAGUUAUAUCAUCACAAGCUGCACAUGGAAACAUUCUUUUGUAGCCAUCAAUAACUAAAUUUGUUUCUUUUGUAGCAUUAAUUUCAAUGAAAAUAAAGGAGGAUAGUUGCAAUUGUUUUUCUUUUGAAAUUUUUAUUCUUUUUUUUUUGUGUUGAAUGUUGACCUCAAUCUUGGACAUAUUUUUCAUAUAUUCAUGGUAGCUUCUAAUGAAGCAUACCACCAUUCCUCUCUACAUUCAUUGUUACUUUUUUUUAGAGGGGAAGGUGGUUAUGGAUAUAAGAAUGAGGUGAGGAGGACAAAAUCGUAUGGGGAUAUGAGUGAAUCGGUUGGGAGAAGAGAAAAGGGUUGUGAGUGUGAAUCCUUUGAAAUGUUGUGAAGAUUGUCCAUGCAAUGUAAGGGAAAACUAAAGGUAGCUUUUUUUCCUGUCAUUUAAUUUAUAUUAUCUCAUUUGUUUUAGUAAAGUACAUUUUUUUUCAAAUUAGGAUCUUAUUUGUCAUUGUGGUUUUGCUUUCUGAUUUUAAGAAGGGGUGAUCAUGGACAUCAAAAGAUUAAGUAUUUAGAUAUAGUGAGGCUUCCAAUAUUACUGAAAACUUCAAAACUGUCGUUGGAGAAGGAGGAUUUGGAGAAGUUUACUACACUAUUCUACAAUACAUUUGGGUAGUGUUAAGUUGCUUUCACCUUUAUCAGCCCAAUGUUACGAGGUGUUAAGAUCAGAGGAAUUACGAAGCUCUCAGUUGAGGCACUAUGCAGCUAGGAUGUUAUCCACUUAUCCAACAAUUUGCCAGAUAAAUAUGGAGAAGAUUUAUUUUCACAGGAAAUAGAAGAGAAUCGGAUGACAUAUUGGAGAAAAUAACAGUUCUGACAUAGGAGUGGAAUAAGGUUGUAGGGGGAUUCUCAUACUCUUUUUCAAAAAAGAUAUUAAAUCAAGUGUAUUUGGGGGCUCUUAGCAAUAUUGGACAUGUUAAGGAUCGUGAGGAUUUUUUUUUCUGAUCUUAGGGGAAUAUGAGUAAGCAGUUUGUGGGCAGGAUGGAAUGAAGAUGUAAUGGGCAGAGUAUCUAAAUGCAGUAAAUCCAAUAAUUGCAACAGAGAAAUAUCAAAAUUAUCUAAUAAAUGAUGAAAAGGGAAAGAAAAGUAUUGUAGUAGGAGGAGUCUUUGUUUUUUGGACUGGUAGAGCUUUUGCAUAUGAAGGGACUUUCUGCUACUCUUAGCGCUGGCAAGAUGAGUAUUUACGCAUGUCUAGGUUGAAGUUUGAUUUUUAUUUAAUUAUUAUCCAAUUGUAAUGAGUUAGAAAAUAUAGCAAUAGGAUCAGAUUAUCGAUUAUAAAAUCAGCUGGCUAAGGGGUGUAUUUAUUAGCUA
Glycine soja is the source of this 6539-nucleotide long non-coding RNA. RefSeq lists it as uncharacterized. The transcript has 2 exons. Lineage: Eukaryota; Viridiplantae; Streptophyta; Magnoliopsida; Fabales; Fabaceae. The record is from RefSeq and is a predicted model, not a curated record.